Molecule: ribosomal RNA, 253 nt
Filed under: uncultured bacterium
Lineage: Bacteria
Description: partial 16S ribosomal RNA
Rfam family: Bacterial small subunit ribosomal RNA
Source: RNAcentral
UACGUAGGGUGCGAGCGUUGUCCGGAAUUAUUGGGCGUAAAGGGCUCGUAGGCGGUCUGUCACGUCGGGAGUGAAAACUCAGGGCUUAACCCUGAGCCUGCUUCCGAUACGGGCAGACUAGAGGUAUGCAGGGGAGAACGGAAUUCCUGGUGUAGCGGUGAAAUGCGCAGAUAUCAGGAGGAACACCGGUGGCGAAGGCGGUUCUCUGGGCAUUACCUGACGCUGAGGAGCGAAAGUGUGGGGAGCGGACAGG